RNAcentral lists this ribosomal RNA (496 nucleotides) under Cladosporium sp. 1-11c. RNAcentral's name for it is "eukaryotic LSU rRNA". The stretch from base 131 to 284 matches the Rfam family "5.8S ribosomal RNA". Lineage: Eukaryota; Fungi; Ascomycota; Dothideomycetes; Cladosporiales; Cladosporiaceae. The record is from RNAcentral.
AUGUUCAUAACCCUUUGUUGUCCGACUCUGUUGCCUCCGGGGCGACCCUGCCUUCGGGCGGGGGCUCCGGGUGGACACUUCAAACUCUUGCGUAACUUUGCAGUCUGAGUAAACUUAAUUAAUAAAUUAAAACUUUUAACAACGGAUCUCUUGGUUCUGGCAUCGAUGAAGAACGCAGCGAAAUGCGAUAAGUAAUGUGAAUUGCAGAAUUCAGUGAAUCAUCGAAUCUUUGAACGCACAUUGCGCCCCCUGGUAUUCCGGGGGGCAUGCCUGUUCGAGCGUCAUUUCACCACUCAAGCCUCGCUUGGUAUUGGGCAACGCGGUCCGCCGCGUGCCUCAAAUCGACCGGCUGGGUCUUCUGUCCCCUAAGCGUUGUGGAAACUAUUCGCUAAAGGGUGCUCGGGAGGCUACGCCGUAAAACAAACCCAUUUCUAAGGUUGACCUCGGAUCAGGUAGGGAUACCCGCUGAACUUAAGCAUAUCAAUAGCCGGAGGAA